UGUGUAGGUGGUGUCGUAAGUUUGGUGUGAAAUCUCCCGGCUUAACUGGGAGGGUGCGCCGAAGACUGCGAUGCUUGAGUAUGGGAGAGGAAAGCGGAAUUCCUGGUGUAGCGGUGAAAUGCGUAGAUAUCAGGAGGAACACCUGCGGUGUAGACGGCUUUCUGGACCAUUACUGACACUGAGACACGAAAGCGUGGGUAGCAAACA
Molecule: ribosomal RNA, 207 nt
Filed under: uncultured bacterium
Lineage: Bacteria
Description: partial 16S ribosomal RNA
Rfam family: Bacterial small subunit ribosomal RNA
Source: RNAcentral